GUGCAUUGUGCCUUUUUCCUUCCAUUCGACGUUUAAUGUUCCCAUCCUUCAUCAUCCAAAACCUAGACUUGUAAGACGAGUAAAAUUUCAGUUUAGUUUUCUUUAAUUUGGAAGUGGCUGGCGUUGUCGGCUUUCUCUUCUUCCGUCGGUCUCUUGAUGAAACAUGCCGCACUUGAACAACAGAGAGAGGCAAGAACGAAGACCGAAUACACUGAUAAGCCGCAAGCGGAGAAUGAGUCUGAAGAGAUGCAUUGAAAAGGGACCUGGAAUUCAAAUUAUUCGGAGAGAAAUGGAGGGGCUGGUAUAGUGAUGAGGCAGAGUGAAAGAUCCUGCGGGUAGAAGAAACGGAAUUUACAAUUUGAGAUGGCUUCGCCGCCGCAGAUCGGAGCUUGACGCACCACCUGAGCAUCGUCGUCGCCGUCGUACUCCAAGGGCGAAGGGAAAU
RNAcentral lists this unclassified non-coding RNA (445 nucleotides) under Hevea brasiliensis (rubber tree). Lineage: Eukaryota; Viridiplantae; Streptophyta; Magnoliopsida; Malpighiales; Euphorbiaceae. The record is from RNAcentral.